CUACGGGUUGCACCAGUCGAGAAUCUUCCGCAAUGGACGAAAGUCUGACGGAGCGACGCCGCGUGCGGGAUGAAGGCCUUCGGGUUGUAAACCGCUGUCAGUGGGGAGGAAAUGCAUCAGGGUUCUCCCUGGUGUUUGACCGAUCCGCAGAGGAAGCGCAGGCUAAGUUCGUGCCAGCAGCCGCGGUAACACGAACUGCGCGAACGUUAUUCGGAAUCACUGGGCUUAAAGAGUUCGUAGGCGGCCUUUCAAGUCGGGUGUGAAAUCCCUCGGCUCAACCGAGGAAUUGCGCCUGAUACUGUUGGGCUUGAGGGGGAUAGGGGUGAGCGGAACUGAUGGUGGAGCGGUGAAAUGCGUUGAUCUCAUCAGGAACACCGGUGGCGAAGGCGGCUCACUGGAUCUCUUCUGACGCUGAGGAACGAAAGCUAGGGGAGCGAACGGGAUUAGAUACCCCAGUAGUC
RNAcentral lists this ribosomal RNA (461 nucleotides) under uncultured bacterium. RNAcentral's name for it is "partial 16S ribosomal RNA". It matches the Rfam family "Bacterial small subunit ribosomal RNA", at positions 339 to 795 of the family's 1533-position model. The record is from RNAcentral.